UAGGUGCCAGAACAAGUGACUGAAUGGGAGCCUUUGUCGAUGGCUCCAUUAAGCCAAAUGGACCCAUGAGGAAAAUGAGCAUGGUCUAUGGACCUUACUGCAGGCUCAGGUCCGCGCUGCCGGUGCUGGGUGCACCCACACACACACAGCCCUAUCCUCUCCCUAUGCAGGUCACGAGGGACCACAAGGCCUCCUGAAAUCGACCACCGAAGUAAACUGAGGCGCGAGGGAGGCCAUCUGGCCGAGGAAGAAGCGCCUGGUCCCCGUGUAAAGUGGAGAGGCCGCGCGAAAGGCCGCCCGGGCCACCGACCGCUCCUCGCCGGCCAGGCCGCAGAUGCUGAAUCACUGCCGGAGCCCGUCCGUGAGCCAAGCUCCCUCUCCCACCGCCCCGCGUCACUGGGAACGGAGGCCGAUCCCCGACCGCGUCGGCGGACCUCAGCCCCAAACCCUGCGAGGACCCGGGGCUUAACUCACCAUAGCUCCGGCGAGGCGACAACCAGAGACAGCAGGGGACCAGGAGCACGGCCUCUAAUACGGUUCGGUGAUCGUCAGGGAAGCCUGCGGAGUUUUGACGGCGGCGGCGCAGGAAGCACAGUCUAUCCCAGAGCCACGGAUCGGCGUUUAGCGCUUCCCCGCCCUCCAGCCCUGGGUGGGCGGGGCUUGCGGAAGGGGCGGACCUGGGACGGGCGGGAAACCCCAGGAUUCAAAUGCCUGUGCGCGGAGAAAGCCGGGGCGUGGCCACCACGCCGCGCGCUGGGUUUCUCGCUUUUUACCCUGUGGAUUGCAGAAGACCGUCAACUCUCGACCCAGCUCCGGAUGAUGCGGUUAUCCCGCAUAGCAUCUCAGUCACAGUCCACAGACAUUUCGGGAAUUGCCUGGCUCAAAGAGGGUGCAAAAAAAGGCCAGAGAACCGUUGUGUGUGUGUGUGUGUACACGCGCGCGCGGUAUAGUUGCUAUGUGUGUGUUUUGUGUGUGUUUGUGUUCUUAUUUCUGGCCCGAGUAUGUUGAGUACUUGGAGAGCACAUCUUUCAGGGCUCUACGGUCGUUUCACUCAUUUUAUGACCCCUAGUUGCUGUUGUCAGACUUUGAACUUGACCAGGGUUCUGUUCUGGUAUUUGAUGUUCGCUGUCCACAACUAAAUGCUGUACCUGGUAGAUUAGGCCACUAGGGGGAAGGUGCGAGUUUUCUUACGAAUUUUUAAAGAGCGUUGGUUUUUGUUUUGUUUUGUUUUUAAGUUUAUCAUCAGAUGAAAUCAAGACGGCUCUGGGCUCGCUGCCUACCUAACAUCUACAGACUGAAGAGGCAAUGGAAGUGGAGGAGCACAUUACGUGAAACUCAAAUAUAUACAAAGGAAGUUAAAUAGUAAUAAACUGAAAUUCAUUGAAAAUCCAAACCUGCUACUUGGGAGGUUUGUAUAGAGGACCCGAGAGUGAAACUUUUGAUCCAACUAAAUGACAAGUUUUUCAGUGUUUUCUCGUGGUUUGUGACAGGAACUUUGUAAUGCGAUGACUUCAGCUGCUUCCUAAGCUGCCUUUUAUUUGGAGAAAGUCGGAAGGUCUGAGGAUUCCCACUUCCUGCACAACUUCCUUUGGGGCCACCUUCUCAACACGAAAGCGUGUGAGGGCAAAGAGGCUGUGAGGCAACCCAGAGCCUCCGCUGUGGCCCACAGCCGGGUUAAACGUCUCGAACUCGGCGGUGCAAACAAGCUCUGCUGAGGCAGCUUUUAUCUUCAACAGCAAGUUGGAGGGGACAGUCUGCCGUUUCGGGGAAGCAUCCAUCAACUGCCAUUAUUUGAAAGGUUCUUGCCUUAGACCAGGUCAGUUUCACCGUCAGAGAAAGCUUUUGCUUAUGGGUUUGUUAACGCAGCCUCCAUCUUUCUGUAGGUUGAAGACUAUAGGAGACAGAGUCUGAAGCGCUGGGAAGCCCAUCUCCCAGCAUGCAAAUUUCUACAGAACUCCAUUUUCAUUCACCAAUCUCGGAGCCAGACUUCCUGGCCUCCAGAGCCACAAACCACAGUAAACCUCUCUUUAAUAAAUCCAUCUCAGAUCUUUCUGAUGGAGCAACGGAAAACUGACUAAAGAAACAAAAGUUUCAAGUAAUGUCAGGGAAAUGGUGCUGUACCUCGGUACAAAAGAUGCAGAGAAGUCAGUGCACGGCAAUUGUCUUUAAAAGUGCCACCUUGACUCAGGCAUCUUGGUGCACAUCUGCAAUCCUAGCACAUCUGCUUAAGGGAGGUGGAGGAAGGAGGGUCAGGAGCUCAAGGUGAGCCUUUACCACACAGGGAGCUUGAGGUCAGCUUGGGCUUCACGAGGCCCUGUCUCAAACAAACACUAAGACGUGUGUGUGUGUGUGUGUGUGUGUGCAUACUUAAGAGAUAACUCUUAAGUUGCCAGGCAAGAAAUUUGCUGAAGGGGAGAGGAGGGGAAGAAAGAAGAAAAGAGGAAGGCAAAGGAAGGGACAAAGCCACUUCCCAAAAGCCCAGGACCAGACAGUUUUAGUGCAGAAUUCUAACAGACUUUGGAAGAAGUGUUAAUGUUAACACUCCUCACAUCACUCCACAAAAUAGAAACAAGCUUGUGUGCCCUUGUGUUUGGGGCAUAGAAGUUAAGAAUUGAAAUGCCAUUUUAGUGGAUUUUUCCUUUGAUGAAUACCCCGUUUGAAUAGUUUUGGUUUGAAGUCUAUUUUGUUUGAUAUUAAAAUGGCUUCAUCAGUUUGCUUCUUAGGUCCAUUGCUUGUAAUAUAUUUUCCAACCCUUUACCCUGAGUUGAUGUCUCUUCUUGAUGUUGAGGUGUGUGUGUGUGUGUGUGUGUGUUUCACUUCUUUAGGCAUCAUCAGUUUAUUAUAAAGGGGUGGCAAUGAAAUUAUUUACAUGAUGAAAUAGUUCAAAAUAUCGGUGGAAUGGACAGCUUCAUGUGACACCAUUUCAACAGUGAUUUCAGUCCACAUACUUUCCAGGACUGUCACUGUCUCCAAAUAAGAAAUAAUCCCUGUGGUCUACAACUACGUUGGUGCCUCCAUACUCUGGGAGAAGAACUUUGUCUCCAACCUUCACACUGACAGGUUGAAUCUCUCCACCCUUUCCUUUUGUGCCUGAUCCCACAGCCACUACUGUUGCUUGCAAUACUUUUCCUUGAGACUUUUCUGGAAGCAUAAUGCCUUUGGUUAUAGUUUCGGUGGCCCUCCUUUCAACUAAUACUCUGUCAAAGAGCAGAAGAAUCUUUCUAAAAGCUUGUCCAGCCAUGACUUGCCACAGCAGCUCCAGACUCUGCACCUAGGCCACUGCUGCAAGGAGUCCUGCGGGCUGGCUCAGGACAUGUGAAAAAUAGGUGUUUCUUGAAUGCAGCAGAAGGAUGGAUCCUGUUUUUGCGUCCAUUCUGUUAAUCUGUGUCUUUUUAUUGCAGAAUUUGAAACCAUUGAUACUGAGAAAUAUCAGUGACCAAUGACUGUUGAUUCCUGUUUGUAGAGGAAUUUUAACCCAGCAACAUAGCUUCUCUAUGUUCAAAGACCUCUGUGUGAUCUGGCUGUAACUCAGAUACAUCCUUAGUACACAGCUUUAAUUCCUUUUAAAAGGUAAAGUUAUUUUGUAGAAGGAAGUACCCAUAUUUGAAAGUGAUGUCUAAUUGAGAGGUAGACAAACUGAUGAAUCAGAGAAAGAUCUGUCAGAAUAGGAUAUACACAACUCUAACAAACACAGGGGAAAGAGCGGCUACUUAAGAGAGAGCAGCACACAGAGAGAAAGAGAACAGUUUUACUGGGAGAGUUUUACAGAGACAGGUUGAAGAGAGAACAAGCUAGACACAGGUGAAGGCAGAUUGAGCCAGAGAAUGAGAAAGAGCCAAAAGAUUAGAACAUAUUGUCAAAGUGCUGUGAGGCCAGACAGAGCAAUUCACUCCCAAGCCAAGAGAAGCCAGUUUGAGUAAGUCAGCUUGGAGAGGAGUUUUAAGCCAGAAUAGCUAAGUUGAACCAGCCAACUAGAAUUCAGGGAGAGCUAGAAAGAGACAGCUUAUUCAGAUGUAACACUGAGGCUGAAAACAUUCUAGGCCUAGAUUAGAUUGCAUGGAGGCUAGAAGCUUCAAGGACUAGGUCUAGGUUAGUAGAUGGUGGCUGUAAGCCUUCAACAUGACAGUUAAAUUUGGCAAAUAAAACUUACUUUUACACA
This is an RNA transcript of Meriones unguiculatus (Mongolian gerbil), 4159 nucleotides long. RefSeq lists it as uncharacterized. NCBI's taxonomy places the organism in Eukaryota, Metazoa, Chordata, Mammalia, Rodentia, Muridae. The transcript is spliced from 2 exons. The record is from RefSeq and is a predicted model, not a curated record.